UCUUCCGAGACAGAAGUGAAGAAAAUUUCUCUGCAUCAUGAAGAUCCUUUCCAUUUUCCUAGUCAUUGCAAUGGCUCUAGCGGCCGUAAGUGGACAAUAUUGCGAAGGACGGGGACUUCGUUGCCGGCAACAUCGGCAGUGUUGCUCAGGGUUUUGCCGCAGGGGAAGAUGCGCCUAGUUGGAGACACAUCCAGGGAAAAGAGAUCCAGGGAUACGACGGUGCGUCAUUCGGCAAGUCCAAUGUGCGAGAAGACCAUCGCUUGGGCUACCUUCAUGAGGAUGAAAUAUCUGGAAAUAGCAUUUCUUAAGCAUUUUCUCAACUAUUUUGCACUCAUUCUAAGCGAAUGGAUGCAAUAAAAUAUCUUUA
This is a long non-coding RNA of Diachasma alloeum, 367 nucleotides long. RefSeq lists it as uncharacterized. The record is from RefSeq and is a predicted model, not a curated record. Lineage: Eukaryota; Metazoa; Arthropoda; Insecta; Hymenoptera; Braconidae. The transcript has 3 exons.